CACGAGGAUUUUUAUCUUUGGAACCGAUUGGUCUGCCACGCUUCAUGCGUGGUUGAGACUCGUUUGCAAUAUGAGAUAGUCCAACAUGAACAUUCAAUUUUAUUGGAGCAUUAGCAGCUGGUAUGUAUGAUUUAGUCACACUUUUUGGAUCAGUGAAUGCAUUUGGCAGUUGGUUUGCUAGACUUUGCAAAUGAAUUAUCUUUUGAACUUCCAGUUCACAUUGUUUAGUUCGAGGAUCAAGAUGAGACAAUGAAGGUUCAUU
Molecule: long non-coding RNA, 262 nt
Filed under: Medicago truncatula (barrel medic)
Lineage: Eukaryota; Viridiplantae; Streptophyta; Magnoliopsida; Fabales; Fabaceae
Description: long non-coding RNA (MTRU_LNC006361)
Source: RNAcentral